UUCGCAUCAUAACAGUUAUGGUGAAUUUGGGGCGAUGGUCAAGCCAGAGUUCUUUUUUCGCCACCUAUCAUUAUCGUGUUCUUUUUUCGCCUUAGGCAAUUACUCUCACUAGGUGAUAGUUAGUCCGAAGCCUAGUAUUGCAACCUUCUUUUAUUUUUUCUUGAUCUCUUUAGAUAGGUACUCUUUUUUUUCCUUCAAAUUUUUUUUCACUGGAUUUUCUUUAAGGAAAUUUUAAUGAGGUAUGGCCUUUAGUCUGCUUCUGUGUGCUUUUAAUGAUUUCUCUAUGAUUUUUUUCUUUUCUUAUUUAAGAAAAUCGCAAUUUAAUAAAAUAAUAACUAGUCCCUCAU
This 347-nucleotide long non-coding RNA is filed under the name Salvia miltiorrhiza (redroot sage). RNAcentral describes it as "long non-coding RNA (SMIL_LNC008595)". Lineage: Eukaryota; Viridiplantae; Streptophyta; Magnoliopsida; Lamiales; Lamiaceae. The record is from RNAcentral.